UACGUAGGGUGCGAGCGUUAAUCGGAAUUACUGGGCGUAAAGCGUGCGCAGGCGGUUCGUUAAGUCAGCUGUGAAAGCCCCGGGCUCAACCUGGGAAUUGCGGUUGAAACUGGCGAACUAGAAUCUGGCAGAGGGGGGUGGAAUUCCACGUGUAGCAGUGAAAUGCGUAGAUAUUGGGAGGAACACCAGUGGCGAAGGCGGCUCACUGGACCGGAACUGACGCUGAGGCGCGAAAGCGUGGGGAGCAAACAGG
Molecule: ribosomal RNA, 253 nt
Filed under: uncultured bacterium
Lineage: Bacteria
Description: partial 16S ribosomal RNA
Rfam family: Bacterial small subunit ribosomal RNA
Source: RNAcentral